Molecule: long non-coding RNA, 222 nt
Filed under: Lathyrus oleraceus (garden pea)
Lineage: Eukaryota; Viridiplantae; Streptophyta; Magnoliopsida; Fabales; Fabaceae
Description: Pisum sativum (pea) long non-coding RNA (PSAT_LNC027672)
Source: RNAcentral
CAAUUUUACCCCUAGUGUUAGAAAUAGGCUAAUUUUGCAUGCUCCCUUAGUUUUAGGACUUAUAGAAUAUUCUCAUUGGUCAAUUAGCCUAGCUAUUAUUUCUCAUGUGGUUAACCUUGGUUCUAAUGCAUGUUUAGAUAGAGUUUAGAUUUUAGAAUUAGCUUUCAUUUGAAUGAUUUUAUUUCCGCACUCCCUUGUACUUUACAUGUACCCCCUCCCCUU